UAUUAAAAAAACAAAAAAUUCAAUAAAAUAUGUUUACAAAAAAAAAAAAAAACAAUCCAGUAACCAGACAUCUCAUUCAACUCUCUUCUUUCCCAACAGCUGUUUUCCAAGCUUCAGGUGGUGAAAGAUGGCAUUGAUAAGAUCAAAGAGGAGCGGCAGGAGUUUGAACAGGUCCAGAAAAAGCUGACGCGGGACCUGAAACUAAAGAAGCUGAUCAUCGAGAACUUUAUUCCCCCAGAGGAAAAAUUCAUCAGCACAAUGGUUUUCGAUGAGGAGGAGUAGUGCUGGAAGAAAAACCCUGUAACACAGUGAGUUUCUGUACAUUUGUGCCUUCAUGAGGUUUGUCUUCUGUCUCUGUGAGUUCUUUUGAGGCCAGGAUUGUUUUCAAAGUCAAACCCGGAUGUCUGCUCUGAGCUUUUCUGCGGGAUCAUCUGGAGAGCAUCCAUGUUCUCCUCUUUGCUCCUCAGAGACCACCAGAUGAUGUCCCGGCCUCUGUCGGCUACAGGAGGCCCCUCAGCCGGCACGCUCGCAGGGCCAUGAUGAUGAAGCCCCAUGCCAGAUACAAAGCGGACAACACACUGCUGCUGGAGAUGGACAUGCCCACAAAGACCACCAAAGACUACCAGGCGCCCGUGAUUGCUACCUGGUUGAUCCUGCCAGUAGCAUAUGCUUGUCUCAAAGAUUAAGCCAUGCGGACAACACACUGCUGCUGGAGAUGGACAUGCCCACAAAGACUACCAGGCGCCCGUGACCCCUCCAAAGAUGGCGGCAGCUCUGGAGGACGCCCUCAGAGACGAGGACGAAAUCCAGGUGGACGCCUCAGGUUUUCACAGCAGCCUGGGAGCGGCUUUCCCCGGCGGCAGCCUCAAAAAACCAAAGUCAGGGUAAGACUGCCAUCUCCGCCCGCCGCCGUCACGUCAUGCUCUGACUCCGCUCUCUGUUCCACAGCCGGCCGAGAAUGGGGAGGAAAUCUGGCACUCCGACCUCUCCGUUCAGCCCUUCCAGCCCAGGAAGCCCUCUUUAUCCACAAUCCCGUGGCCCGGUGCCCAAAUGAUGACUUGUAGGACAACUAACAACCCCCCCCUCACCAUUCUGUUACACAUCUGAUCCUCCGGGUGGCGCCACAUCCAGACUGGUCUUAAACGUUCAGUGCAGUAUCGCCGGUGACUUUGUUCUCACUUUAAUAUGAAGCUGAAGGAAAAGGUCUGGUUUCCACAGCGAGCAGUGCUCCGUCUGUUCCCUCUGCGAUGUCGAAACCUUCCUGUAGCGGGCGCUCUCGCCACAAACCUCGCUCUGCUGGAAUCUGGAUCCUCUGUGGAAGACGAUGGAACGAGCCCGUCCGGCUCCUCCGAUGUGCCUCAGGUACAUCAGGGUUCCAAGGUGCCUUAAAUCCAAGUCCUCAAACCUCAUUUCAACGAUGAUUCCUUCCUGAGAUCCCAUCUGGGAAUGCACGCACCUCCACAACAUUCAGGUUUCAGCACAUCCGUCUGUGACGAGCAUCCUCAGACAUCUUUAGAGUAAACCGGUCUCCUUCAGCAGAACUACAACACACAACUGCUGUGUGAGCGUGAGAUGCGGCAGCAGAUGGAGAGUCUGGACGAAGAAACGCUGGGGCUCAAGGAGACCUACAGUUCUCUGCAGCAGGAGGUUUACAUUAAUACCAAGAUGCUGAAGAAGGUAAAGUCCUGGGAUUCCCGUCCUGUGAUGUCGGGGUGGACGUGCACAUGGGAUCACUGCUCUUCACAUCAUACACCCACAAUUCUGCUAUUAACCCUUUAAAGUCCCAAUCCAAGUUGAGCCAGCUAGCAGCUCAGAUGAGGAAAGUUAGAACAAUCAAUCAGAACAAUCAAUCGUUCUGACCCAA
This 1864-nucleotide long non-coding RNA is filed under the name Oryzias javanicus (javanese ricefish). Its description in RNAcentral is "lncRNA (ENSOJAG00000000122.1)". The record is from RNAcentral. Lineage: Eukaryota; Metazoa; Chordata; Actinopteri; Beloniformes; Adrianichthyidae.